Molecule: ribosomal RNA, 505 nt
Filed under: uncultured bacterium
Lineage: Bacteria
Description: partial 16S ribosomal RNA
Rfam family: Bacterial small subunit ribosomal RNA
Source: RNAcentral
GAUGAACGCUAGCGACAGGCCUAACACAUGCAAGUCGAGGGGUAGCAUGGAAGUAGCAAUACUUUUGAUGACGACCGGCGCACGGGUGAGUAACGCGUAUGCAACCUACCUACUACAGGGGAAUAGCCCGAAGAAAUUCGGAUUAAUGCCGCAUAAUACAGGGGCACCGCAUGGUGAUAUUUGUUAAAGAUUAAUUGGUAGUAGAUGGGCAUGCGUUCCAUUAGCCAGUUGGUGAGGUAACGGCUCACCAAAGCAACGAUGGAUAGGGGAACUGAGAGGUUUAUCCCCCACACUGGUACUGAGACACGGACCAGACUCCUACGGGAGGCAGCAGUGAGGAAUAUUGGUCAAUGGGCGAGAGCCUGAACCAGCCAAGUCGCGUGAAGGAUGACUGCCCUAUGGGUUGUAAACUUCUUUUGUACUGGGGUAAAAAAGAGGACGUGUCCUUUCUUGCAAGUACAGUACGAAUAAGCAUCGGCUAACUCCGUGCCAGCAGCCGCCGCUG